GAUGAACGCUGGCGGCGUGCCUAAUACAUGCAAGUCGAGCGAACAGACGAGGAGCUUGCUCCUCUGACGUUAGCGGCGGACGGGUGAGUAACACGUGGAUAACCUACCUCUAAGACUGGGAUAACUUCGGGAAACCGGAGCUAAUACCGGAUAAUAUAUUGAACCGCAUGGUUCAAUAGUGAAAGACGGUUUUGCUGUCACUUAUAGAUGGAUCCGCGCCGCAUUAGCUAGUUGGUAAGGUAACGGCCUACCAAGGCAACGAUGCGUAGCCGACCUGAGAGGGUGAUCGGCCACACUGGAACUGAGACACGGUCCAGACUCCUACGGGAGGCAGCAGUGGGGAAUCUUGCGCAAUGGGCGAAAGCCUGACGGAGCAACGCCGCGUGAGUGAUGAAGGUCUUCGGAUCGUAAAACUCUGUUAUUAGGGAAGAACAAAUGUGGAAGUAACUAUGCACGUCUUGACGGUACCUAAUCAGAAAGCCACGGCUAACUACGUG
RNAcentral lists this ribosomal RNA (497 nucleotides) under uncultured bacterium. Its description in RNAcentral is "partial 16S ribosomal RNA". It matches the Rfam family "Bacterial small subunit ribosomal RNA", at positions 28 to 507 of the family's 1533-position model. The record is from RNAcentral.